UACGUAGGUGGCAAGCGUUGUCCGGAAUUAUUGGGCGUAAAGAGCGUGUAGGCGGGUAAACAAGUUUGUUGUGAAAUUACAGGGCUUAACCCUGGGAACGCAAUGAAAACUGUUUAUCUUGAGGACAGGAGAGGAAAGUGGAAUUCCCAGUGUAGCGGUGAAAUGCGUAGAUAUUGGGAGGAACACCAGUGGCGAAGGCGACUUUCUGGACUGUAACUGACGCUGAGACGCGAAAGCCAGGGGAGCAAACGGG
RNAcentral lists this ribosomal RNA (253 nucleotides) under uncultured bacterium. RNAcentral describes it as "partial 16S ribosomal RNA". It matches the Rfam family "Bacterial small subunit ribosomal RNA", at positions 524 to 776 of the family's 1533-position model. The record is from RNAcentral.